UAACAUCUUAACUAAAAGCACCCCCGACACCUCUAUGGAGUCGAGCCUCGAGUUCUUCCGGAGCCCCUUAGUUCGUCUCUGUCAGCGCCACGUGAGACACCUACAAGGAGACGCCUUAAGUCAGCUCAUGAACGGUCCCAUCAAAAAGAAGCUCAAAAUUAUCCCUGACGAUGUCUCCUGGGGAGGUACGAACGUGCGCUGAUCAAGUGCGGCUUGCAGGGGCGAUGUGCGCAGACUCAGAGCCCUUAAUCCGUAGAGUGGGUUUCCUCGGUGGUGAUGGUCCAUCGUUGAGUAAAAUUGAUCUUACAGUCUGCA
This 315-nucleotide long non-coding RNA is filed under the name Rattus norvegicus (Norway rat). Its description in RNAcentral is "long non-coding RNA NONRATT004704". Lineage: Eukaryota; Metazoa; Chordata; Mammalia; Rodentia; Muridae. The record is from RNAcentral.